RNAcentral lists this small RNA (53 nucleotides) under uncultured Ruminiclostridium sp. Its description in RNAcentral is "Streptococcus sRNA SpF59 (ldcC RNA)". It matches the Rfam family "Streptococcus sRNA SpF59 (ldcC RNA)". The record is from RNAcentral. Lineage: Bacteria; Bacillati; Bacillota; Clostridia; Eubacteriales; Oscillospiraceae.
UGACCAUUUCGAAAGAAAUAUAUAGCCAUACGGACAGCUGGGUCAAAUGCCGA